This 444-nucleotide long non-coding RNA is filed under the name Androctonus crassicauda. The record is from RNAcentral. Lineage: Eukaryota; Metazoa; Arthropoda; Arachnida; Scorpiones; Buthidae.
AAUUGAAAAAAGUAUGGGGAAAUUUGAAAAUACGCUCCUGAAAUUCAUGGCGGAAUACUGAAGAAUCCGGAUUUUCGGUUGUCGGAGUUUUGAAUGUCAACCUGUGUAUAUUUUUUUAUAUGGUUUGUGUGUGUGCAUAUUAGAGAGUUUGCGUUAAACCCACUUUCGAUACAGUAUACUGUCCGAUACAAUACAGCAGGUGUGGCCAAACUUUUAUCCCUUAGGGGCUACUUAUUCUGUAAAAUAUCGUCUGCGGGCGACUAUGAAUAUAGGCAAACAAUUUUAGGAUUUUUCAAAUUUUUCAUAGAUAUUUUAAUAAAUAAUUAACAAGAAUUUCAGUUAAAAAAAUAUUAUAGCAAAUAAAGAAAGCAAAUAAUUAUAUAUUUUUUAUUUUAUGAAGCACAAAAAUAUUUAUUAAAUGAAAAAAAAUUACAAUGUAAAGAA